GAUGAACGCUGGCGGCGUGCCUAAUACAUGCAAGUCGAGCGAACGGACGAGAAGCUUGCUUUUCUGAUGUUAGAGGCGGACGGGUGAGUAACACGUGGAUAACCUACCUAUAAGACUGGGAUAACUUCGGGAAACCGGAGCUAAUACCGGAUAAUAUUUUGAACCGCAUGGUUCAAAAGUGAAAGACGGUCUUGCUGUCACUUAUAGAUGGAUCCGCGCUGCAUUAGCUAGUUGGUAAGGUAACGGCUUACCAAGGCAACGAUGCAUAGCCGACCUGAGAGGGUGAUCGGCCACACUGGAACUGAGACACGGUCCAGACUCCUACGGGAGGCAGCAGUAGGGAAUCUUCCGCAAUGGGCGAAAGCCUGACGGAGCAACGCCGCGUGAGUGAUGAAGGUCUUCGGAUCGUAAAACUCUGUUAUUAGGGAAGAACAUAUGUGUAAGUAACUGUGCACAUCUUGACGGUACCUAAUCAGAAAGCCACGGCUAACUACGUG
Molecule: ribosomal RNA, 497 nt
Filed under: uncultured bacterium
Lineage: Bacteria
Description: partial 16S ribosomal RNA
Rfam family: Bacterial small subunit ribosomal RNA
Source: RNAcentral